UACGGCCAAGCAGUAAGUCAGGAUGUGAGUCAAAUGUUUACAUCCGUGUUGACAAGCUGUGAUGGGGAGCGAAAUUUAAGUAGCGAAGUUGCCGAUGUCACACUGCCGAGAAAAGCUUCUAAGGAGUAGUUAACUGCCCGUACCGCAAACCGACACAGGUAGUCGAGGAGAGAAUCCUAAGGUGAGCGAGAGAACUCUCGUUAA
RNAcentral lists this ribosomal RNA (204 nucleotides) under Limosilactobacillus agrestis. RNAcentral's name for it is "Limosilactobacillus sp. WF-MT5-A partial 23S ribosomal RNA". It matches the Rfam family "Bacterial large subunit ribosomal RNA", at positions 1507 to 1708 of the family's 2925-position model. The record is from RNAcentral. Lineage: Bacteria; Bacillati; Bacillota; Bacilli; Lactobacillales; Lactobacillaceae.